This 438-nucleotide ribosomal RNA is filed under the name uncultured bacterium. RNAcentral describes it as "partial 16S ribosomal RNA". It matches the Rfam family "Bacterial small subunit ribosomal RNA", at positions 339 to 795 of the family's 1533-position model. The record is from RNAcentral.
CUACGGGGCGCUCCAGUGGGGAAUAUUGCACAAUGGAGGAAACUCUGAUGCAGCAACGCCGCGUGGAGGAUGACACUUUUCGGAGCGUAAACUCCUUUUAUAUAGGAAGAAGAUGACGGUACUAUAUGAAUAAGCGCCGGCUAACUCCGUGCCAGCAGCCGCGGUAAUACGGAGGGCGCAAGCGUUACUCGGAAUCACUGGGCGUAAAGAGCGUGUAGGCGGAUUAAAAAGUCAGAAGUGAAAUCCUAUAGCUUAACUAUAGAACUGCUUCUGAAACUCUUAAUCUAGAAUAUGGGAGAGGUAGAUGGAAUUUCUGGUGUAGGGGUAGAAUCCGUAGAGAUCAGAAGGAAUACCGAUUGCGAAGGCGAUCUACUAGAACAUUAUUGACGCUGAGACGCGAAAGCGUGGGGAGCAAACAGGAUUGAUACCCCGGUAGUC